Molecule: transfer RNA, 87 nt
Filed under: Strongyloides stercoralis
Lineage: Eukaryota; Metazoa; Nematoda; Chromadorea; Rhabditida; Strongyloididae
Rfam family: tRNA
About the family: Transfer RNA (tRNA) molecules are approximately 80 nucleotides in length.
Source: Rfam by way of RNAcentral
CCAACCAUAGCUCAGUUGGUAGAGCGGAGGACUGUAGCUUCAACAACUGAUAUCCUUAGGUCACUGGUUCGAAUCCGGUUGGUUGGA